This 468-nucleotide ribosomal RNA is filed under the name uncultured bacterium. RNAcentral describes it as "partial 16S ribosomal RNA". It matches the Rfam family "Bacterial small subunit ribosomal RNA", at positions 28 to 507 of the family's 1533-position model. The record is from RNAcentral.
GACGAACGCUGGCGGCGUGCUUAACACAUGCAAGUCGAACGGAAAGGCCCUGCUUUUGUGGGGUGCUCGAGUGGCGAACGGGUGAGUAACACGUGAGUAACCUGCCCUUGACUUUGGGAUAACUUCAGGAAACUGGGGCUAAUACCGGAUAGGAGCUCCUGCUGCAUGGUGGGGGUUGGAAAGUUUCGGCGGUUGGGGAUGGACUCGCGGCUUUUCAGCUUGUUGGUGGGGUAGUGGCUUACCAAGGAUUUGACGGGUAGCCGGCCUGGGAGGGUGACCGGCCACAUUGGGACUGAGAUACGGCCCAGACUCCUACGGGGGGCAGCAGUGGGGAGUAUUGCACAAUGGGCGGAAGCCUGAUGCAGCAACGCCGCGUGCGGGAUGACGGCCUUCGGGUUGUAAACCGCUUUCGCCUGUGACGAAGCGGGAGUGACGGUAAUGGGUAAAGAAGCACCGGCUAACUACGUG